Nicotiana attenuata is the source of this 476-nucleotide long non-coding RNA. RefSeq lists it as uncharacterized. The transcript has 2 exons. Lineage: Eukaryota; Viridiplantae; Streptophyta; Magnoliopsida; Solanales; Solanaceae. The record is from RefSeq and is a predicted model, not a curated record.
ACGGGAGUUAGAGAAAGGGUUACGCAGCAACAAAUAGAGAAAAGGGGAUUUGGUGAAAUUCAAAAAAAAAAAAAAACCUUUACAAGGAACAUAGAAGAAGAAGAAGGUUCUACUCUUGGUGCUCAUAAUCCUUCUAGCCAACAUCUUCUUUGGUUAAAAAGAGAUAGCAGUUGACGCGAGCGAGGAUUUCGUUAAUUAGAGUAUACGAGUUGAUAGUUCCUGGUGAGCCUGCACUUGUUCGCGUGGGCGAAGAGUUUUUUUGUUUGUUAUCGUCUUUUCUUAUUAACUCAUAAGGUCGCUCCAUGGUCAUUCUUUUAGUGUCAUGAGUAUCCUUUAUUAUCAUAGACUUAUAAUGAGUAUUGCACUUUCUUAUCGAAUUUGGAGAUAAAUUAGUAUUUGUGGCUGUUAGUGGGUGGAUUAUAAUGGUUGAGACUUAUUUUGGUUAAUGGAAAAAGUUAUUGUUGGUUGGAUUGAUA